UACGGGGGGGGCAAGCGUUGUUCGGAAUUACUGGGCGUAAAGGGCGCGUAGGCGGUUCGCUAAGUUGGAUGUGAAAACUCUGGGCUCAACCCAGAGCCUGCAUCCAAAACUGGCGGGCUAGAGUGCGGGAGAGGAUGGUGGAAUUCCCAGUGUAGAGGUGAAAUUCGUAGAUAUUGGGAAGAACACCGGUGGCGAAGGCGGCCAUCUGGACCGCAACUGACGCUGAGGCGCGAAAGCGUGGGGAGCAAACAGG
Molecule: ribosomal RNA, 253 nt
Filed under: uncultured bacterium
Lineage: Bacteria
Description: partial 16S ribosomal RNA
Rfam family: Bacterial small subunit ribosomal RNA
Source: RNAcentral